This 497-nucleotide ribosomal RNA is filed under the name uncultured bacterium. Its description in RNAcentral is "partial 16S ribosomal RNA". It matches the Rfam family "Bacterial small subunit ribosomal RNA", at positions 28 to 507 of the family's 1533-position model. The record is from RNAcentral.
GAUGAACGCUGGCGGCGUGCCUAAUACAUGCAAGUCGAGCGAACAGACGAGGAGCUUGCUCCUCUGACGUUAGCGGCGGACGGGUGAGUAACACGUGGAUAACCUACCUAUAAGACUGGGAUAACUUCGGGAAACCGGAGCUAAUACCGGAUAAUAUAUUGAACCGCAUGGUUCAAUAGUGAAAGACGGUUUUGCUGUCACUUAUAGAUGGAUCCGCGCCGCAUUAGCUAGUUGGUAAGGUAACGGCUUACCAAGGCAACGAUGCGUAGCCGACCUGAGAGGGGGAGCGGCCACACUGGAACGGAGACACGGUCCAGACUCCUACGGGAGGCAGCAGUAGGGAAUCUUCCGCAAUGGGCGAAAGCCUGACGGAGCAACGCCGCGUGAGUGAUGAAGGUCUUCGGAUCGUAAAACUCUGUUAUUAGGGAAGAACAAAUGUGUAAGUAACUAUGCACGUCUUGACGGUACCUAAUCAGAAAGCCACGGCUAACUACGUG